GAUGUGAUAUGUGAUAUGUGAUAUGUGAUUAAGUAAUGUUGAGCUCAUAAAGCUGCACCUAGGGUGAUUGUGAAUUAGCCAGAGAUAUGAAGUACAUGCCUGUUUAUUUACAUCACCUCCCGCACUAUAUGCUUAUAUUGGAUCCAACUUAUGUGCACAGUCUUGUCGUACAAACCUUAUUAUGGUUUCGACUCGUAGGUGACUAGCGAUUUAUCGCCCGACUAUUAUGAGAGAAUAGAAUUGAGCAUAAUUAUAUUUCACCCAAUCUUGUCGUACAUACCCUUUUCAGUGGUUCCGACUUAUGUGCAAUAUAUUGCCAUAUAGGUCAUAGUAGUGACUCCGGCUAGAUUGAGUUUGAG
This 359-nucleotide long non-coding RNA is filed under the name Malus domestica (apple). RNAcentral's name for it is "long non-coding RNA (MDOM_LNC004107)". Lineage: Eukaryota; Viridiplantae; Streptophyta; Magnoliopsida; Rosales; Rosaceae. The record is from RNAcentral.